This 124-nucleotide small nucleolar RNA is filed under the name Echinops telfairi (small Madagascar hedgehog). RNAcentral's name for it is "Small nucleolar RNA SNORA61 (ENSETEG00000025669.1)". Lineage: Eukaryota; Metazoa; Chordata; Mammalia; Afrosoricida; Tenrecidae. The record is from RNAcentral.
ACCCUUCACACCCUUUAGCCAUCAGAUUUAAACCCUGGUUUGAGUGGCCAUCAAGGGAGGAAACGCAGAGUGAAAAUGACUUGGGUUCUCUCGUGACAUACGAGUGAGUUCCAACCCAAAAAGA